AACGAGCCAGGAAACUACAAAAUAAAACAGGAAACAAGCCCACACCGCGAGCUUAACUAAAUGACACGGCUGAGUCGGUCACGACCUUUUACAGUUGGGACAGAGGAAGAAAACAUCACCUCACAUUCCUCACUCUGCAUAACAGAACACGGGUUGAUUAUUAUGGAUCACUGUAGAAAAUAGCAAACAACAUAGAACAGCUGUGAACAUCCUGGCAUCCUUUGAGUAAACGCUCACACACGGAGCCUCCUGGAGACGCAGCCAUAUUUCACAAUGACAGCAGCAACUACUUUGAACCGCCCCUCAACUUUUCCUUUAAUUUUCUCCCCUGACAUCCCAUCCAUCAAUAACUGUCACGUUAUGAAGUUCGAGUGGGAGAAAAUUGUGUUUUUCUUUCCCGCUCAUCAAUCGACAUUACCAAAUGUUCAGGUUCAGCUCAAACCGCCCGAAUUACCUGCCGCGCCGUUCGCUGGCGACAUGUGGCGACAGCGGGCUCGGCCCAUUGCAGAGAGAAGGACCAUGUGACCUUUGCGCUCCGGCUGCAUUGAAUUCUUUGGCUAUGCUUCUUUAACAAUCAAUAAAAUCAACUUGGUGUCGACAUUUCAAACAUGGAGACGGGAGUGCCGAGUGUUUCACGUUCUGGCCACGCGCGCCUUGAGAAAUGUUCUCUGCUCGGGGGGGGGGGGGGGGCGGAUGCUUUAAGUGGGUCCCCUUCUGCACACAGGGACACUUGGUGAUACGAAGCGAUGCGGCGUCAUGGCUGCGCCCGGAUCCUCUAUGCAACGCAGGUCGGUACUUACAGGGUGGAGGACGUGAGGGGAUAGAAGGGGUUUGAUUAACAGUGGUGCAGUGAGUAAAAACAAACCAGACCCAAUCCCCUUCACACACACACACACACACACACGAUUCUGCUGCGCCUCACCACACAGUGCAGCGCUGUGGUUCAACAAUUCCCUCUGUGGGGAGCGAGGGAGGCUGCUUCAGCCCAGCCAACCAUUGGAAACUCAUUAUUACAAUAGUAAGUGAUGGAUCAUUUCCAAACGAUCUCCACGUACACCGUAACAAUUAAAUCACCAGCGAGGCAAUUACAGCUGGGCAGUAUAGCGGUGGGACGCUGAUAAAUUGCCGGACUUUAACCUUUGGGCUAGCGGACAGAUUACACUUAUUAAACCACAGUAUUAUUGGACCUAAUAAAUCCGUCGCACGGCCAUAUCAGCCUGCAUAACUGCAGAGUGGACGUUCUUCUCGCGCUGCGCAGGAGUCGUAUUUGAGGGGAGAACACGGCAGAAGGAAGGUGAGGUCACACGCGUCUCCCACUCUGUUCGUUUUUGCAUCCACCACUUCGGUCCCCAACCACUCGACCCUCUGAGAACCAGCGUGUUCCUCAGAGGACGAAUCCCAAAGACUUUGCUGAUCCCCUGACUCGUAAUUCAGCGCCAUCACCAGGUCAAAAUCUGUUUUUUUAAAGCUCGGUUUUAUGAUCAAAUACCUAAUUACUAGUGCUGGGCAUGAAUCGCAUUGUAACAUGCAGAAUUCUAAAUUACAUUCAAAAGCAGUGUGAUGUGCACUUUUUAUUUGAGCAAACACUUCAUUGAUGGAUACAUUAAACGUUGUUUUAUCUCUGUUCAGCAGCAGACGUUCCUGUUGGAGUGAAGCGGCCCAGCACUGAGCACACAGCUGGGACUUCCUGUGCAGGGACUUUUUAGUCUUUGAGGUCCAUGUUUGUACUGGAUUCACUUUGGAGAUUCUCAGUCAAAAAAAACACACUUUCAGUGAUGCAGGUUUUAAAUAACGUUGGUUCCAUCAACUCCAGCGUCUGUGAGAGAUCUAAAAUGAACUUGGGCCCGCCUCCAAAUGCUCCCAUUGGAUCAGACACGUGACGGUGCCCCUCCCACGCCAAUACUUACCGCUCUCCUCUGACCCAUAUUGUCUGGAUGUGGUAAUGUGCGAUACAAUAACUGUUAACCAAAAACAUUAGUAAAACAUCAACGCAGGAAUUAAUUUACAGGCGAACUUGCGUAGCCUCAAAGUCAUCAGCCUUUGCCGUCUUUGUGUUCGAGGCUUAUUAGAAACGUGCUACACCAACCUCAACCUGAACACACACUCGGAGCUUCAAUAUGUGUGAGACUAACUUGGGCUUUUCAUCUGGUUGUUUGGAAACAAACAGUUUAAUUUCUUUCGCUUCUGAAGUCAAAUCAAUUUUACAAGUAAAUGCGACAAAACAGAGCUUACAGUUUAUUAACUGUGACACAAACGCUCACACGUCAGAAGAAGACGGGAGAGGAAUUCGUUGAAAUCGGAGUCCCUGGGGGGGGGAAAUGACACGUUGAUGAAGAAUCGGGGAGAGAUUAAAGGAGAAAAGAUCUAAAUAAACUAACAAUUUCCUUUCCCGUUAAUGAGGACGGAUGCAUUGGAAACAAGGCGCUCAAUGAACUGGCUGUAUGUGGCCACAGUGUCUCUGUGGCCAGCCUCCUCCGCCUCUUUGAUCUUUCAUUAAAACACCCACACAUGUAUGCCCCGGUUACUUGAAACACCUAGUAAUAUGUGAAGAAUGCAAUAUUUGAUACGCCGAGGGAGCAGGUGGGAAUUUCAAGUCCUUGCAGUGAGAACCAGGACUCUGUUACAUCACUGCACAAAGUGCGUUUCACCUCCGUUACAUUCCCACGCCUGUUAGAGAUGCUGGGACUUUGUUCACGGCUAAAAAGAGAAAUAAUUCAAGCAGGAUCGCUGUUCAUUUUGUUAAGACAUCAUUCUGCAAAUUUGUCAGUUUUAAAAAAAAUUUUAAAAAGUAAUUUAGUUUGUUUCUAUACGACCGUUCCGAUCACUCUCACAGCUCUUCAAAUGGGUGGUGAUGAAUGAUUCUCUGGCCCCAACAUCCAUUGUACGACAGCUGUGGCGGAAAAUCACUGUCAAAAAUUCGAGCGCGUAAAUCGGUUUGAUGCGCGCGCGUAAAUCCAACAUCCGCGAGUUUGUCUCGCGCGAGAUAUUCGCUCACUGGCGGAACGUGAACUUCCCUGCUGGCGAGGCGAAUCUCUGCUCGCGCUCGAAGUGUUUCCCGUUUUAUUUAGUAGUUUUCUGGGUGACUUCACCUCCUGCCUUUGUCAUCGGGAUUGUCUGUCGUGAUAGUUUCCACCUGUGUCCAAUCACCUGCCCCCCCCCCUGUUCCUGGUUCCUGUCGCCGUUACAAACCCCGUCUGUGGAUUGGAGUGAUGCGUUCACACAACUAUAGAAGCCCGUUUCCGCACUAAUGAAACGGGAUAAAAAGUCGAAAUUAUGAGAUAAAAUGUUGUCAAAACACAAACGACACCUCUCUGUAAUAAUUCUUUAUUCUAAUACAUGUAACAGUUCAUCUUCUAUUAAAUUCAAACAGGAACGCUGUUCAUUUUGUUAAGACAUCAUUCUGCAAAUUUGUCAGUUUUUUUUAUUUUUUAAAAAGUAAUUUAGUUUGUUUCUAUACGACCGUUCCGAUCACUCUCACAGCUCUUCAAAUGAGUGGUGAUGAAUGAUUCUCUGGCCACAACAGCGGGGCCAUAUAUUUUUUAGCUUUCAAAAAUAACUGUUUGGAUUCCUGUGCUUUUGGUUUAAAAAAUAAAAGCCUGAUGAGGAAUGCUGGACAUUAAAUACCAUUUUAAAUGUGUUUGCAAAAGAUCUCUAGAUGCCAGCUCUACAUUUUGCGGAUUAACAGGAUAAUAUAAUUAUUGACUUCCCCAUGACAAUGGCGCUACAUUCAUAGACCUACGUGCCUUAACACAACAUUUCAACACAAGCAAAUACUUUACCACUUAUUCCUCCACUCGUGGUCAAAGGAAGUGCUCUGUUCCUUUUCUAAAGAACCCACUCGGCUGCACGUCCUCAGCUAUGACGUGGAAAGUCAUCCCAAGCCUGUAGUUUGUAUUUCUUCUUGUUACAACCAUGGCUGUGUUAUUUGCACGGGACUGCCAGCAGAAGCAACCCAGUCUCACAGCAACACGUGUCAUAGCUACGUUGUGGAGCACCGUGGGAUUCUCACGCUUUCUCCCCAAAAUCGUGACAAUACUACAUUUUAUUUCGGCCCAUUCAUUCACACCGCCUUGCAACUACGUCACUAGAAACUAAUAAACAGAAGGUCUCCUGUUCUCUGAUAGAAGAUUGUGAAAAUAUGACGCAUACUUCUCGCUAGAAAUGCCAUCGAAA
Gasterosteus aculeatus aculeatus (three-spined stickleback) is the source of this 4173-nucleotide long non-coding RNA. The record is from Ensembl. Lineage: Eukaryota; Metazoa; Chordata; Actinopteri; Perciformes; Gasterosteidae.